CAGCCGCGUAAUUCCAGCUCCAAUAGCGUAUAUUAAAGUUGUUGCAGUUAAAAAGCUCGUAGUUGAAUUUCGGGAUCGACGGGUCGGUCGCGCCUCUGGUGUGUACUGGCCCUGUCGGUUUCUCCCUUCUGACGAACCACGAUGUCAUUAAUUUGGUGUCGUGGGAAAUCAGGACUGUUACUUUGAAAAAAUUAGAGUGUUUAAAGCAGGCAUUCGCUUGAAUACAUUAGCAUGGAAUAAUGAAAUAGGACGUUUGAUUUUAUUUUGUUGGUUUCUAAGAUCGACGUAAUGAUUAAUAGGGAUAGUUGGGGGCAUUAGUAUUCAAUUGUCAGAGGUGAAAUUCUUGGAUUUAUUGAAGACUAACUACUGCGAAAGCAUUUGCCAAGGAUGUUUUCAUUAAUCAAGAACGAAAGUUAGGGGAUCGAAGACGAUCAGAUACCGUCGUAGUCUUAACCAUAAACUAUGCCGACUAGGGAUCGGAUGAUGUUAAUUUUUUAAUGACUCAUUCGGCGCCUUACG
Molecule: unclassified non-coding RNA, 519 nt
Filed under: uncultured Glomeromycotina
Lineage: Eukaryota; Fungi; Glomeromycota
Description: SSU rRNA
Rfam family: Eukaryotic small subunit ribosomal RNA
Source: RNAcentral